Molecule: long non-coding RNA, 483 nt
Filed under: Ailuropoda melanoleuca (giant panda)
Lineage: Eukaryota; Metazoa; Chordata; Mammalia; Carnivora; Ursidae
Description: lncRNA (ENSAMEG00000028235.1)
Source: RNAcentral
UUACUUUCAGCCUUGGAAGAGUGGUCUCCAUCAAGAGCUUAGCCCUAAACAUGAAGAUGAAGAUAAAAAGGAAAAGGAAAAAGAGCCCUGUGAAUUGGAACCUCGAAAACCAGAAAAGAAUCUACAUUUAAGCCAUCUUUUCAAGGGGGCUGCCCAUGGAGGGAUGCUGGGAAGAAAGCAGGUGAUGAAAGUCCUCGGAGGCAGCAGCAGCAUGCUGCCCGGGAACCAGGGCCCUGUGAGCGACGCUGUCCAGACAAAGGCCUGCCCCCAAGACCCGAAGCUGGCCAGGCACUCCGUAGGCCCCUGUAACAGUAAUCACAUCAUAUUGUGUUGAGCAAAGAAAAGAAGAGGAGACUCACCCCAAGGAAAGUCUGGCAGUGGCUGGAUCCACGGACACAAACAGUAACUCAAGGACUCCAUGUUGCGGCUUCUACUUUGGGCUUUUCCCUCCCUGGCUGGGCCCCAUUUUCAGACAGACCCCAC